GUGCCAGCCGCCGCGGUAAUACCGGCAGCCCGAGUGAUGGCCGAUCUUAUUGGGCCUAAAGCGUCCGUAGCUGGCUGCGCAAGUCCGUCGGGAAAUCCACGUGCUUAACGCGUGGGCGACCGGCGGAAACUGUUCGGCUUGGGGCCGGAGGACCCGAGGGGUACGUCCGGGGUAGGAGUGAAAUCCCGUAAUCCUGGACGGACCGCCGGUGGCGAAAGCACUUCGAGAAAACGGAUCCGACAGUGAGGGACGAAAGCCAGGGUCUCCAACCGGAUUAGAUACCCCAGUAGUCC
RNAcentral lists this ribosomal RNA (293 nucleotides) under uncultured bacterium. Its description in RNAcentral is "partial 16S ribosomal RNA". It matches the Rfam family "Archaeal small subunit ribosomal RNA", at positions 455 to 747 of the family's 1478-position model. The record is from RNAcentral.